RNAcentral lists this ribosomal RNA (253 nucleotides) under uncultured bacterium. RNAcentral describes it as "partial 16S ribosomal RNA". It matches the Rfam family "Bacterial small subunit ribosomal RNA", at positions 524 to 776 of the family's 1533-position model. The record is from RNAcentral.
UACGAAGGGGGCUAGCGUUGCUCGGAAUGACUGGGCGUAAAGGGCGCGUAGGCGGCUCACAGAGUCGGACGUGAAAUUCCUGGGCUUAACCUGGGGGCUGCGUUUGAUACCUGUGGACUAGAGUGGGGAAGAGGGUCGUGGAAUUCCCAGUGUAGAGGUGAAAUUCGUAGAUAUUGGGAAGAACACCGGUGGCGUAGGCGGCGACCUGGUCCUUUACUGACGCUGAGGCGCGAAAGCGUGGGGAGCAAACAGG